CCCUGGUGAUCGAAUCCGUCAUAUAGAAAUUCUCAACAGCACUCCCAAAGGCACUCAGACUCAUCUUCUCGCUCAACUCAGGUUUCAAUGAAGUAGAGAAUGUAGCCGCUUCCCUCUCAUCCAUGUUAUAAAGGUUUGGUGCCAGAGUCUUAAUCCGGGAACGGAUGGCCCCAAGGGUGUCGUAAGGCAACUGGACCCCUGCCACCUCAGACAGAGCCCGAAUUAUUUUCCAGUCAUCCCUAGAAUCACCAACAGUGGGGACUGCAGGCAAGGUUUGUUGGGUGCAGCCUUCUGUAUUUUCGUAUGUCCCUUCCUUCUCGCUAAAUGCUGCUGCUGGCAAAAUGACAUUGGCACGAUACACGCUCUGGUCACCAUGAUGGCCCUGAUAAACUACAAAGGC
This 400-nucleotide long non-coding RNA is filed under the name Vitis vinifera (wine grape). RNAcentral describes it as "long non-coding RNA (VVIN_LNC004724)". Lineage: Eukaryota; Viridiplantae; Streptophyta; Magnoliopsida; Vitales; Vitaceae. The record is from RNAcentral.